Molecule: ribosomal RNA, 497 nt
Filed under: uncultured bacterium
Lineage: Bacteria
Description: partial 16S ribosomal RNA
Rfam family: Bacterial small subunit ribosomal RNA
Source: RNAcentral
GAUGAACGCUGGCGGCGUGCUUAACACAUGCAAGUCGAACGAAGCACUUUGAUCGAUUUCUUCGGAUUGAAAUUUUAGUGACUGAGUGGCGGACGGGUGAGUAACGCGUGGGUAACCUGCCUCACACAGGGGGAUCACAGUUGGAAACGGCUGCUAAUCCAGCAUAAGCGACCAGUACCGCCUGGUACGGUGUGAAAACCGCCGGUGGUACGAGAUGGACCCGCGUAUGCUUAGCUAGUUGGCAGGGCAACGGCCUACCAAGGCGACGAUCAGUAGCCAACCUGAGAGGGUGACCGGCCACAUGGGGACUGAGACACGGCCCAAACUCCUACGGGAGGCAGCAGUGGGGAAUAUUGCACAAUGGGGGAAACCCUGAUGCAGCGACGCCGCGUGAGCGAAGAAGUAUUUCGGUAUGUAAAGCUCUAUCAGCAGGGAAGAAGAAAUGACGGUACCGGACUAAGAAGCACCGGCUAAAUACGUGCCAGCCGCCGCAGUAA